GACGAACGCUGGCGGCGUGCCUAAUACAUGCAAGUAGAACGCACGGUUUAUACCGUAGCUUGCUCCACCAUAGACUGUGAGUUGCGAACGGGUGAGUAACGCGUAGGUAACCUGCCUGGUAGCGGGGGAUAACUAUUGGAAACGAUAGCUAAUACCGCAUAAUAUUAAUUAUUGCAUGAUAAUUAAUUGAAAGGUGCAAUUGCACCACUACCAGAUGGACCUGCGUUGUAUUAGCUAGUAGGUGAGGUAACGGCUCACCUAGGCGACGAUACAUAGCCGACCUGGGAGGGUGAUCGGCCACACUGGGACUGAGACACGGCCCAGACUCCUACGGGAGGCAGCAGUAGGGAAUCUUCGGCAAUGGACGAAAGUCUGACCGAGCAACGCCGCGUGAGUGAAGAAGGUUUUCGGAUCGUAAAGCUCUGUUGUAAGAGAAGAACGGGUGUGAGAGUGGAAAGUUCACACUGUGACGGUAUCUUACCAGAAAGGGACGGCUAACUACGUG
Molecule: ribosomal RNA, 505 nt
Filed under: uncultured bacterium
Lineage: Bacteria
Description: partial 16S ribosomal RNA
Rfam family: Bacterial small subunit ribosomal RNA
Source: RNAcentral